AAAAUAUAAAUUAAUAAAAAUAUAAUUAAUAAAAUUAAUUUUAAUAAUAAAAUGGGGGGUUUUAGUAUUAAUUAAGAAAUAAUUAUAAAAUUUAUAGAAUAAUAUUAUUGUAAAAGAAUUUUGAAAUAAUAAUGAAAAUAAAUUUGUUAAAAAGUAAAUUUUAUUUAUUGUAUCUUGUGUAUCAGAGUUUAUUAAAAAAGUUUUUUAGGUGAAAGUUUCUCGAAUUAAAAAGAGAUAAUUAAUUAAAAAAGUUAUUGUAGCAAAAAUAUUUUAAAUAAUUAAUUUGAAAUGAAAUGUUAAUCGUUUUUUAAUAUAUCUAGUUUUUUUAGAAAAAAAUUUAAUUUUAUAUUUAUUUAAUAAAUUAAUUAAUUUUUCUUAAUUAUUUUAAUAAUAAAAUUUUAUAUUUUAAGGGAUAAGCUUUAAAUUAAAUUUUUAUAAUUAAUAAAUUUUUAUAAUUAUAAAAUUUUUAAAAUUUAUAUUGUUUAAAAAAUUUAAUUUAUUAUAAAUAAUUUUAUACAAUAAAUAAAAUUUUAUAAAAAAAAUUUAAUUUUAUAUAGAAAAAUAAUUUUUAUUAAAAUAAAAUUAGAUAUAAUGAUAAAAUUAGUAUAAAUUAAAUAUUAUUAAAAACAAAAAUAAUGUAAUUUAUUUAAAUUAAUUCAAAGGAAUUCGGCAAAUAUUUAUAUUCACUUGUUUAUCAAAAACAUGUCUUUUUGAAAAUAAUUUAAAGUCUAAUCUGCCCACUGAUAAAUAUAUUAAAGGGCUGCAGUAUUUUGACUGUACAAAGGUAGCAUAAUCAUUAGUCUCUUAAUUGGUGACUUGUAUGAAGGAUUGAAUGAAAUAUAGACUGUCUCUAAAUUAAAGUUAGAAUUUAAUUUUUUAAUCAAAAAGUUAAAAUAGAUUUAAAAGACGAGAAGACCCUAUAGAGUUUUAUAGAUAAUUAUAUUAAAAUUUUUUAUAAAUUUAAUAAUUAAAAUAUUAAUUAUUUAUUUUAUUGGGGUGAUAGAAAAAUAAAAAAAACUUUUUUUUAAAAAAAACAUAAAUAAGUGAAUAAGUUGAUCCAAAAUUUUUGAUUAAAAGAAAAAAUUACCUUAGGGAUAACAGCGUAAUUUUUUUUUUUAGUUCAAAUAAAAAAAAAAGUUUGCGACCUCGAUGUUGGAUUAAGAUAAAAUUUAAAUGCAAAAGUUUAAAAUUUUGAUCUGUUCGAUCAUUAAAAUCUUACAUGAUCUGAGUUCAAACCGGUGUGAGCCAGGUUGGUUUCUAUCUUUAAAUAAAUGAAAUAUUUUAGUACGAAAGGAUUAAAUAUUUAAAUUAAAUUUAUUGAGUUGAAUUUUAUUAAAUAAAAUUAUAA
RNAcentral lists this ribosomal RNA (1348 nucleotides) under Evergestis junctalis. RNAcentral's name for it is "16S ribosomal RNA". The record is from RNAcentral. Lineage: Eukaryota; Metazoa; Arthropoda; Insecta; Lepidoptera; Crambidae.